Molecule: ribosomal RNA, 952 nt
Filed under: Campylobacter jejuni
Lineage: Bacteria; Pseudomonadati; Campylobacterota; Epsilonproteobacteria; Campylobacterales; Campylobacteraceae
Description: partial 23S ribosomal RNA
Rfam family: Bacterial large subunit ribosomal RNA
Source: RNAcentral
AAAAAAGGUAAGCUACUAAGAGCGAAUGGUGGAUGCCUUGACUGGUAAAGGCGAUGAAGGACGUACUAGACUGCGAUAAGCUACGGGGAGCUGUCAAGAAGCUUUGAUCCGUAGAUUUCCGAAUGGGGCAACCCAAUGUAUAGAGAUAUACAUUACCUAUAUAGGAGCGAACGAGGGGAAUUGAAACAUCUUAGUACCCUCAGGAAAAGAAAUCAAUAGAGAUUGCGUCAGUAGCGGCGAGCGAAAGCGCAAGAGGGCAAACCCAGUGCUUGCACUGGGGGUUGUAGGACUGCAAUGUGCAAGAGCUGAGUUUAGCAGAACAUUCUGGAAAGUAUAGCCAUAGAGGGUGAUAGUCCCGUAUGCGAAAAACAAAGCUUAGCUAGCAGUAUCCUGAGUAGGGCGGGACACGAGGAAUCCUGUCUGAAUCCGGGUCGACCACGAUCCAACCCUAAAUACUAAUACCAGAUCGAUAGUGCACAAGUACCGUGAGGGAAAGGUGAAAAGAACUGAGGUGAUCAGAGUGAAAUAGAACCUGAAACCAUUUGCUUACAAUCAUUCAGAGCACUAUGUAGCAAUACAGUGUGAUGGACUGCCUUUUGCAUAAUGAGCCUGCGAGUUGUGGUGUCUGGCAAGGUUAAGCAAACGCGAAGCCGUAGCGAAAGCGAGUCUGAAUAGGGCGCUUAGUCAGAUGCUGCAGACCCGAAACGAAGUGAUCUAUCCAUGAGCAAGUUGAAGCUAGUGUAAGAACUAGUGGAGGACUGAACCCAUAGGCGUUGAAAAGCCCCGGGAUGACUUGUGGAUAGGGGUGAAAGGCCAAUCAAACUUCGUGAUAGCUGGUUCUCUCCGAAAUAUAUUUAGGUAUAGCGUUGUGUCGUAAUAUAAGGGGGUAGAGCACUGAAUGGGCUAGGGCAUACACCAAUGUACCAAACCCUAUCAAACUCCGAAUACCUUA